UCAAAGAGAAGGAAGAAGAAGACGAGAAGAAGAGAAAGUCAGAGAGAAAUGUUUAUGCUUCUUCAUUGAUUCCCAGUCUCGGCAGGGAUGAGCAACCCCUUCUGAUCCUACGAGUUAUCGUUUUCAAGAUGAAGCCGCGCCAGUUUUUCAGUGUGGCUAGCCUUCUUCAUGAUGUGCAGAUUAGAUUAGUUCAUUAAACUAUGUAAUGGGCAAUAAGGUAUGGGCAUAAUGUGUGGGAUCUAGUGGUGCUUAUCAUUUGCUUUGUUCAUUAGUGCGUUAGGUAAUCCUGUGUCUCAUCCCCUCCCGAUUAUUUUCGGGCCAGGACAAGACCCGUCCCAAUAUGAUCGGGACAAUACCGGACCAAUCGAGAUAGGUCCAGAUUGAACACCCCUAAGUGCGUAUCAUUGAGUUGGUUAUUAUUUUU
This is a long non-coding RNA of Prosopis cineraria, 424 nucleotides long. RefSeq lists it as uncharacterized. Lineage: Eukaryota; Viridiplantae; Streptophyta; Magnoliopsida; Fabales; Fabaceae. The record is from RefSeq and is a predicted model, not a curated record. The transcript is spliced from 2 exons.